RNAcentral lists this ribosomal RNA (443 nucleotides) under uncultured bacterium. RNAcentral's name for it is "partial 16S ribosomal RNA". It matches the Rfam family "Bacterial small subunit ribosomal RNA", at positions 338 to 795 of the family's 1533-position model. The record is from RNAcentral.
CCUACGGGGAGCAGCAGUGGGGAAUAUUGGGCAAUGGGCGCAAGCCUGACCCAGCAACGCCGCGUGAAGGAAGAAGGCUCUCGGGUUGGAAACUUCUUUUAUCAGGGACGAAGCAAGUGACGGUACCUGAUGAAUAAGCCACGGCUAACUACGUGCCAGCAGCCGCGGUAAUACGUAGGUGGCAAGCGUUAUCCGGAUUUACUGGGUGUAAAGGGAGUGUAGGCGGGAGUGCAAGUCAGAUGUGAAAACUAUGGGCUCAACCCAUAGCCUGCAUUUGAAACUGUACUUCUUGAGUACCGGAGAGGUCAUCGGAAUUCCUUGUGUAGCGGUGAAAUGCGUAGAUAUAAGGAAGAACACCAGUGGCGAAGGCGGAUGACUGGACGGCAACUGACGGUGAGGCGCGAAAGCGUGGGGAGCAAACAGGAUUAGAUACCCUAGUAGUC